GGAUGUGAGGGCGAUCUGGCUGCGACAUCUGUCACCCACUGAUUGCCAGGGUUGAUUCGGCAGGUGUCCCCUUCCUCCCUCAGCGAUCCACGUGCAUCCCUCCUGAAGCUGCGCACUCGGUCGAAGAGGACAACCACCCCUGAUAGAGGAGGACUGUUCCUCGGUCAAGGGUAUACAAGUAGCUGUGCCCCCCUGCUAGAACCUCCAAACAGGCUCUCAAAACAUUUCCUCAAACUAGUUUCCACAGAGCUAGGAUGUCUGAUCUCAGAAACCCAAGUCUUUUGCUUCACUAUAUUUAAACUUUUAAGAACCACAAGAUUCUUU
Molecule: small nuclear RNA, 324 nt
Filed under: Octodon degus (degu)
Lineage: Eukaryota; Metazoa; Chordata; Mammalia; Rodentia; Octodontidae
Description: 7SK RNA (ENSODEG00000024174.1)
Rfam family: 7SK RNA (bases 1-287)
About the family: 7SK was discovered as an abundant small nuclear RNA in the mid-70s but a possible function has only recently been suggested. Two independent studies have found that 7SK RNA binds the CDK9/cyclin T complex (known as elongation factor P-TEFb). P-TEFb activates transcription by phosphorylating the C-terminal domain of RNA polymerase II.
Source: Rfam by way of RNAcentral